CCCAAAACCUAAAACGCAAUAAAAAAUAAAAAAUUAAAAAGAAAAUCUGGCUUCUGCCUAACUUUACACUUGUGUUUCCAAAUUCAAACAUACUCUACAGAUAUACCAGACAUCCAACCACAACAAUCUAGAGCUCUAGCCCUGGAGUUUCAUGUAUAGAAUCAAAUCCUGGCUCUACUUUACAAAGUUCUCACUAUGUUAUCCAGGCUGAUCUCGAACUUCUGGGCUCAAGGGAUCCUCCUGCUUCGCCUCCCAAAGUCCUGGGAUGACAUAUAUAUGGAGUCUCUAUUUUGCUCAGGCUGGACUUCAACUCCUG
This 316-nucleotide long non-coding RNA is filed under the name Callithrix jacchus (white-tufted-ear marmoset). Its description in RNAcentral is "lncRNA (ENSCJAG00000080126.1)". Lineage: Eukaryota; Metazoa; Chordata; Mammalia; Primates; Cebidae. The record is from RNAcentral.